CGCGUAGGCGGCUUUGUAAGUCUGGAGUGAAAGUCCUCUUUUCAAGGGAGGAAUUGCUUUGGAAACUAUAGAGCUUGAGUGCAGGAGAGGUUAUCGGAAUUCCCGGUGUAGCGGUGAAAUGCGUAGAUAUCGGGAGGAACAUCGGUGGCGAAGGCGGGUAACUGGACUGCAACUGAUGCUGAGGCGCGAAAGUGUGGGGAGCAAACA
Molecule: ribosomal RNA, 207 nt
Filed under: uncultured bacterium
Lineage: Bacteria
Description: partial 16S ribosomal RNA
Rfam family: Bacterial small subunit ribosomal RNA
Source: RNAcentral